AAAUGAAUUGACGGGGCCCCGCACAAGCAGUGGAGCGUGUGGUUUAAUUCGACGCAACGCGCAGAACCUUACCAGGGCUUGACAUCCCCUGACAUCCGCGGAAACGCGGACUCCGGGCUUCGGCCUGGCAGGGAGACAGGUGCUGCAUGGUUGUCGUCAGCUCGUGUCGUGAGAUGUUGGGUUAAGUCCCGCAACGAGCGCAACCCCUAUCCUGUGUUGCCACCGGGUAAAGCCGGGCACUCACUGGAGACUGCCGGAGACAAUUCGGAGGAAGGUGGGGAUGACGUCAAAUCCUCAUGGCCCUUAUGUCCUGGGCUACACACGCGCUACAAUGGCCUGAACAAUGGGCAGCGACACCGCGAGGUGAAGCCAAUCCCACAAAUCAGGUCCCAGUUCGGAUCGCAGGCUGCAACUCGCCUGCGUGAAGCCGGAAUUGCUAGUAAUCGCGGAUCAGCUACGCCGCGGUGAAUACGUUCCCGGGGCUUGUACACACCGCCCGU
Molecule: ribosomal RNA, 500 nt
Filed under: uncultured bacterium
Lineage: Bacteria
Description: bacterial SSU rRNA
Rfam family: Bacterial small subunit ribosomal RNA
Source: RNAcentral